GGGUUGUGAGGUUAAGCGAAUAAGCGUACACGGUGGAUGCCUAGGCAAUCAGAGGCGAUGAAGGACGUGCUAAUCUGCGAAAAGCGUCGGUAAGGUGAUAUGAACCGUUAUACCCGACGAUAUCCGAAUGGGGAAACCCAGUAUCCAAUGGAUACUAUCAUUAACUGAAUCCAUAGGUUAAUGAGGCGAACCGGGAGAACUGAAACAUCUCAGUACCCCGAGGAAAAGAAAUCAACCGAGAUUCCCCUAGUAGCGGCGAGCGAACGGGGAGCAGCCCAGAGUCUUAAUCAAUAGCAGUGUCAGGAGAACGGUCUGGAAAGUCCGGCAGUAAAGGGUGAUAGCCCCGUAUCUGAAGAUGCUGUUAUUGUGAACUCGACGAGUAGGGCGGGACACGUGUUAUCCUGUCUGAAUAUGGGGGGACCAUCCUCCAAGGCUAAAUACUCCUGAUUGACCGAUAGUGAACCAGUACCGUGAGGGAAAGGCGAAAAGAACCCCGGCGAGGGGAGUGAAAAAGAACCUGAAACCGUGUACGUACAAGCAGUAGGAGCCCUCUUUAUGGGGUGACUGCGUACCUUUUGUAUAAUGGGUCAGCGACUUAUAUUCUGUAGCAAGGUUAACCGUAUAGGGGAGCCGUAGGGAAACCGAGUCUUAACUGGGCGAAUGAGUUGCAGGGUAUAGACCCGAAACCCGGUGAUCUAUCCAUGGGCAGGUUGAAGGUUGGGUAACACUAACUGGAGGACCGAACCGACUAAUGUUGAAAAAUUAGCGGAUGACUUGUGGAUGGGGGUGAAAGGCCAAUCAAACCGGGAGAUAGCUGGUUCUCCCCGAAAGCUAUUUAGGUAGCGCCUCGUGAACUCAUCUUCGGGGGUAGAGCACUGUUUCGACUAGGGGGUCAUCCCGACUUACCAACUCGAUGCAAACUGCGAAUACCGAAGAAUGUUAUCACGGGAGACACACGGCGGGUGCUAACGUCCGUCGUGAAGAGGGAAACAACCCAGACCGCCAGCUAAGGUCCCAAAGUCAUGGUUAAGUGGGAAACGAAGUGGGAAGGCUCAGACAGCCAGGAUGUUGGCUUAGAAGCAGCCAUCAUUUAAAGAAAGCGUAAUAGCUCACUGGUCGAGUCGGCCCGCGCGGAAGAUGUAACGGGGCUAAACCAUGCACCGAAGCUGCGGCAGCGACACAUAGUGUUGUUGGGUAGGAGCGUUCUGUAAGCCUGCGAAGGUGUACUGUGAGGUAUGCUGGAGGUAUCAGAAGUGCGAAUGCUGACAUAAGUAACGAUAAUGCGGGUGAAAAACCCGCACGCCGGAAGACCAAGGGUUCCUGUCCAACGUUAAUCGGGGCAGGGUGAGUCGACCCCUAAGGCGAGGCUGAAAAGCGUAGUCGAUGGGAAACGGGUUAAUAUUCCCGUACUGGUGGUAACUGCGAUGGGGGAACGGAGAAGGCUAGGUUGUCCGGGCGACGGUCGUCCCGGUUCAAGCAGGUAGGCAGAGUGAUUAGGCAAAUCCGGUCACUUAAUGCUGAGAUGUGAUGACGAACCACCAAGGUGGUGAAGCAAUUGAUGCCCCGCUUCCAGGAAAAGCCUCUAAGCUUCAGGUUACCAACAAUCGUACCCCAAACCGACACAGGUGGUCAGGUAGAGAAUACUCAGGCGCUUGAGAGAACUCGGGUGAAGGAACUAGGCAAAAUGGUGCCGUAACUUCGGGAGAAGGCACGCUGGCGGUAGGUAAAGUCCCUCGCGGACGGCGCUGAAGCCAGUCGAAGAUACCAGCUGGCUGCAACUGUUUAUUAAAAACACAGCACUGUGCAAACACGAAAGUGGACGUAUACGGUGUGACGCCUGCCCGGUGCUGGAAGGUUAAUUGAUGGGGUCAGCCGUAAGGCGAAGCUCCUGAUCGAAGCCCCAGUAAACGGCGGCCGUAACUAUAACGGUCCUAAGGUAGCGAAAUUCCUUGUCGGGUAAGUUCCGACCUGCACGAAUGGCGUAAUGAUGGCCAGGCUGUCUCCACCCGAGACUCAGUGAAAUUGAACUCGCUGUGAAGAUGCAGUGUACCCGCGGCAAGACGGAAAGACCCCGUGAACCUUUACUAUAGCUUGACACUGAACAUUGAGCCUUGAUGUGUAGGAUAGGUGGGAGGCUUUGAAGUGUGGACGCCAGUCUGCAUGGAGCCAACCUUGAAAUACCACCCUUUAACGUUUGAUGUUCUAACCUAGGCCCAUAAACUGGGUCGGGGACCGUGUCUGGUGGGUAGUUUGACUGGGGCGGUCUCCUCCUAAAGAGUAACGGAGGAGCACGAAGGUUGGCUAAGCAUGGUCGGACAUCAUGCGGUUAGUGCAAAGGCAUAAGCCAGCUUGACUGCGAGAGUGACGGCUCGAGCAGGUACGAAAGUAGGUCUUAGUGAUCCGGUGGUUCUGAAUGGAAGGGCCAUCGCUCAACGGAUAAAAGGUACUCCGGGGAUAACAGGCUGAUACCGCCCAAGAGUUCAUAUCGACGGCGGUGUUUGGCACCUCGAUGUCGGCUCAUCACAUCCUGGGGCUGAAGUAGGUCCCAAGGGUAUGGCUGUUCGCCAUUUAAAGUGGUACGCGAGCUGGGUUUAGAACGUCGUGAGACAGUUCGGUCCCUAUCUGCCGUGGGCGUUGGAAGAUUGAGAGGGGUUGCUCCUAGUACGAGAGGACCGGAGUGAACGCACCACUGGUGUUCGGGUUGUCAUGCCAAUGGCAUUGCCCGGUAGCUAAGUGCGGAAGAGAUAACCGCUGAAAGCAUCUAAGCGGGAAACUUGCCUCGAGAUGAGUCUUCCCUGUCACUUUAAGUGACCUAAAGGAACGUUUAAGACUAAGACGUUGAUAGGCUGGGUGUGUAAGCGUAGCGAUACGUUGAGCUAACCAGUACUAAUGAACCGUGAGGCUUAACCUGACAACACCGAAAGUGUUUUG
Molecule: ribosomal RNA, 2931 nt
Filed under: Proteus mirabilis
Lineage: Bacteria; Pseudomonadati; Pseudomonadota; Gammaproteobacteria; Enterobacterales; Morganellaceae
Description: bacterial LSU rRNA
Rfam family: Bacterial large subunit ribosomal RNA
Source: RNAcentral